UUUUUUUUGGAAAUUUUCGGACGGAAAGAGGAGAUGGAAAGUAGCCGACCGGGUGGAGAAACGCGUGAGAAAACCCUCCUCCCCACAAAGGGGGGAUAGCCAUUGGAAAACGGUGAUUAAUACCCUUUGACAGGGACGCUUCGCAUGGAGCAGCCAUUAAAGUGUUAGCGGUGUGAGAUGGUUCUCGCGUCUGAUUAGCUAGUUGUGGAGAUAACAGCUCACCAAGGCGACGAUCAGUAGCCGGCUUGAGAGAGUGAACGGCCACACUGGAACUGAGACACGGUCCAGACUCCUACGGGAGGCAGCAGUGGGGAAUAUUGCACAAUGGAGGAAACUCUGAUGCAGCGACGCCGCGUGAGCGAAGAAGGCCUUCGGGUUGUAAAGCUCUGUCCUUGGUGAAGAUAAUGACGGUAGCCAAGGAGGAAGCCCCGGCUAACUACGUGCCAGCAGCCGCGGUAAUACGUAGGGGGCGAGCGUUGUCCGGAAUUAUUGGGCGUAAAGGGUACGUAGGCGGUUUUUUAAGUCAGCAGUUAAAGCGCGGGGCUCAACCCCGUAAAGCUGUUGAAACUGGAGAACUCGAGAGAUGGAGAGGAAAGUGGAAUUCCUAGUGUAGCGGUGAAAUGCGUAGAUAUUAGGAGGAAUACCGGUGGCGAAGGCGACUAUCUGGACAUCAACUGACGCUGAGGUACGAAAGCGUGGGGAGCAAACAGGAUUAGAUACCCUGGUAGUCCACGCCGUAAACGAUGAGUGAUAGGUGUCGGGGGUCAAACCUCGGUGCCGUCGCUAACGCAGUAA
RNAcentral lists this ribosomal RNA (795 nucleotides) under uncultured bacterium. RNAcentral's name for it is "bacterial SSU rRNA". It matches the Rfam family "Bacterial small subunit ribosomal RNA", at positions 68 to 863 of the family's 1533-position model. The record is from RNAcentral.